RNAcentral lists this ribosomal RNA (1312 nucleotides) under Pseudarthrobacter sulfonivorans. RNAcentral's name for it is "bacterial SSU rRNA". It matches the Rfam family "Bacterial small subunit ribosomal RNA", at positions 98 to 1417 of the family's 1533-position model. Lineage: Bacteria; Bacillati; Actinomycetota; Actinomycetes; Micrococcales; Micrococcaceae. The record is from RNAcentral.
GCGAACGGGUGAGUAACACGUGAGUAACCUGCCCUUAACUCUGGGAUAAGCCUGGGAAACUGGGUCUAAUACCGGAUAUGACUCCUCAUCGCAUGGUGGGGGGUGGAAAGCUUUAUUGUGGUUUUGGAUGGACUCGCGGCCUAUCAGCUUGUUGGUGAGGUAAUGGCUCACCAAGGCGACGACGGGUAGCCGGCCUGAGAGGGUGACCGGCCACACUGGGACUGAGACACGGCCCAGACUCCUACGGGAGGCAGCAGUGGGGAAUUAUUGCACAAUGGGCGCAAGCCUGAUGCAGCGACGCCGCGUGAGGGAUGACGGCCUUCGGGUUGUAAACCUCUUUCAGUAGGGAAGAAGCGAAAGUGACGGUACCUGCAGAAGAAGCGCCGGCUAACUACGUGCCAGCAGCCGCGGUAAUACGUAGGGCGCAAGCGUUAUCCGGGAAUUAUUGGGCGUAAAGAGCUCGUAGGCGGUUUGUCGCGUCUGCCGUGAAAGUCCGGGGCUCAACUCCGGAUCUGCGGUGGGUACGGGCAGACUAGAGUGAUGUAGGGGAGACUGGAAUUCCUGGUGUAGCGGUGAAAUGCGCAGAUAUCAGGAGGAACACCGAUGGCGAAGGCAGGUCUCUGGGCAUUAACUGACGCUGAGGAGCGAAAGCAUGGGGAGCGAACAGGAUUAGAUACCCUGGUAGUCCAUGCCGUAAACGUUGGGCACUAGGUGUGGGGGGACAUUCCACGUUUUCCGCGCCGUAGCUAACGCAUUAAGUGCCCCGCCUGGGGAGUACGGCCGCAAGGCUAAAACUCAAAGGAAUUGACGGGGGCCCGCACAAGCGGCGGAGCAUGCGGAUUAAUUCGAUGCAACGCGAAGAACCUUACCAAGGCUUGACAUGGACUGGAAAUACCUGGAAACAGGUGCCCCGCUUGCGGUCGGUUCACAGGUGGUGCAUGGUUGUCGUCAGCUCGUGUCGUGAGAUGUUGGGUUAAGUCCCGCAACGAGCGCAACCCUCGUUCUAUGUUGCCAGCGCGUUAUGGCGGGGACUCAUAGGAGACUGCCGGGGUCAACUCGGAGGAAGGUGGGGACGACGUCAAAUCAUCAUGCCCCUUAUGUCUUGGGCUUCACGCAUGCUACAAUGGCCGGUACAAAGGGUUGCGAUACUGUGAGGUGGAGCUAAUCCCAAAAAGCCGGUCUCAGUUCGGAUUGGGGUCUGCAACUCGACCCCAUGAAGUCGGAGUCGCUAGUAAUCGCAGAUCAGCAACGCUGCGGUGAAUACGUUCCCGGGCCUUGUACACACCGCCCGUCAAGUCACGAAAGUUGGUAA